AGGUUUGCAUCUGAAUCACAGAGCUGGUGGGGGCCCGAGCACUUGGCCACGUGGACCAGAUUGAUGCCAUUGUCUCGGCACACUGACCUUUGCUCUAAAGGUCCAGUGAGUGACCUAUUUGAGCCACGCAGCAGAGUGACCCCCCAUGCCCCCUCACACCCACUACCACGACCCGUCUCUUUGCCCCACUCCCCUCCAGAAUGCUGAGGCAUCACUGCUCCUGAGCACACAGUCCGGCAGCACCCCCUGACCCCGCGCUGUCCCCCAUUAUAGAGCAGUCAGAAAGCUUUUAGGGGCUCCGGUAACGCUGAAAGAUUGAUGGCGUAAAAUGGGAUGGAGGAGGGGAGAAGAGCAGGUGGUUAAGAAGAGAAUGUCCUCCUUAAUGGGUUGCCAGGAAUGUAAUUCAAUAAUUAUGAAAAGUGACUCAAGAGAGCAGGCUGGAUGGAUGGAUGGAUGGCUUCUGAUGGAGGCUGGUAGCUCCUUUGGUGUUCAUGCCUUGGCAUCCUCAAAGCGACAGAAACAGGUUAAUUUCUGCUCCCUUUCAUUGCUCAAUCAUCUGUUCUUCCACUGUCAGGUGAGUCAUGCUCUUUUGAAGAUAAAGAUCCAUAGAUGCGGAACAUCUCAGAUAACAUUUUUUUGGUUGAAGGUACUUGAGAGAAAACCACUCUGGAUAUAAUAAGAUGUAAGAUCAGCUGAUGUUUGCCGGUGAUGUUUUCACUUCACUUCUUUUAGAGCCUCCUGCCUGCCACUUAGUAAAGCACUUUGUAAUUGCUGAUUUUAAGUGCAUUUUACAUUAGAUACUAAAGACAUAUGCAAGGCCUUUUCUACCAUCUGAGCCCAUUAGCCAGUGAAGAUGCUAAAUCUUCUAAUGCAUUAGAGAACGUAAGUCAGAGAAAGGGAGCUGGGCUUGGUUUGUGUAGAACACAUUUUAGACCAGGCAGGCCUUCACCUGCCUGUUGUUACUCCUUAGUAGGUCAUAUUUUGAAUGUUUUGUAUAACUCUUAAACAGUCAAUAAAUCUCAAAAAAGCUUUACAAUCUAAUACAAUCCAUUAUGGAUAAUAAUUUUCUCAAUACUUUGAAUUUUAAGCUACCGGAUUUUAUUUUCAAAACUUUUGCAUACAUUUAGCCUUUUGUCAAAGGCUGGCUUUUUAUAGCUCCCCAAAUACAUGCUGUGUUUGAGGACCAGUGGGAAGAAUGCAUAGAGCUGUGGUUUAUCUUUAAACAUAUUUAGGCUAGAGAGGCAUUCAAAGAUCAAAGUUCUUCAAGAAUUUGUGUCAAGAGCUGAUGCUUCAAGGUGUCCUCCAUCCAUUGCGUGAACUUGACAUUUUUUAAUUACAGAAAAGAAUCAGCUUGUAGAGAUGUACUCCAAAAAUGUUGGGUUAGGAAGGGAGGAUUUUACUUUGAUUUUUAUUUAUUUCCUUUCUCUUUUUGGGAAAAUUUGGAACUAGAACUAAACUCUACCUUGUACUUUUCCAUGACACACAGCUUGAUUUUGGUGUAUCAUGCACCCCCGCAUUCAGACAAAAUCAGUCUCAGCUGUUCCGAUUUUCUUUGCUUUUUUCAUGGUAAAACUUUUAGUGGUAAACUUUUAGGAAAUAUUUUAGUGAAAAUAAUCAUUAGAAGACAUAAAGAAAAUCAGAAUGACAGCAAAGGGAGUGUAAAAAGAAAAUUAAUCAAAUUAAUUUAACUGAAUCAAAAUCCCAGUACAUAGCGAUGUGGUUGUAUUGUAGUUGACUAUACAAAGCUCUUCUGAUAUGAAGGCAGUUUUGGGCUAUGUAAAGUUAGGGGUGGUAGGUCUGUUCUUUUAGUUUUUACUUUUAGGUCAAACAAUUGUGUACAGUUGUAUUUUAUUUGGAUUCCCUCCCAAAUGUAUGCAACUUCAAUUACUCUGAAUCCAUAAGGCAGGACCUCAACAAGGCAAACAUCAAACACCAGAGGCUAAAUAAUCAGUUUUUUAAACUUUAUUUUAAAAAUCAAACAAUAUAAUCAUUAAUUUAUAUAAAACAAGUGUGAGCUAACAAAAAAAAUCACAAUUUAUGUAAAAACAGGUGUCAGCUAAAAAUCCC
Cyprinodon tularosa is the source of this 2067-nucleotide long non-coding RNA. RefSeq lists it as uncharacterized. The transcript has 3 exons. The record is from RefSeq and is a predicted model, not a curated record. Lineage: Eukaryota; Metazoa; Chordata; Actinopteri; Cyprinodontiformes; Cyprinodontidae.